Molecule: ribosomal RNA, 322 nt
Filed under: uncultured Prevotella sp.
Lineage: Bacteria; Pseudomonadati; Bacteroidota; Bacteroidia; Bacteroidales; Prevotellaceae
Description: bacterial SSU rRNA
Rfam family: Bacterial small subunit ribosomal RNA
Source: RNAcentral
GAUGAACGCUAGCUACAGGCUUAACACAUGCAAGGUCGGGGGGCAGGCGGGGCGGUAGCUUGCUACCGCCGCCGGCGACCGGCGCACGGGUGAGUAACGCGUAUCCAACCUUCCCCACAGUAGGGAAUAGCCCGGCGAAAGUCGGAUUAAUGCCCUAUGCAGUCCUUCGAGAGCAUUUGAGAAGGACUAAAGAUUCAUCGCUGUGGGAUGGGGAUGCGUCUGAUUAGGCAGCAGGCGGGGUAACGGCCCACCUGGCCGACGAUCAGUAGGGGUUCUGAGAGGAAGGUCCCCCACAUUGGAACUGAGACACGGUCCAAACUCC